Molecule: ribosomal RNA, 253 nt
Filed under: uncultured bacterium
Lineage: Bacteria
Description: partial 16S ribosomal RNA
Rfam family: Bacterial small subunit ribosomal RNA
Source: RNAcentral
UACGAAGGGGGCGAGCGUUGUUCGGAUUUACUGGGCGUAAAGGGCGCGUAGGCGGCUGGGGAAGUCGGCGGUGAAAGCCCGGAGCUCAACUCCGGGUCGGCCGUCGAGACUCCUCGGCUCGAGCUCACUAGAGGCAGAUGGAAUUCCGGGUGUAGCGGUGGAAUGCGUAGAGAUCCGGAAGAACACCGGUGGCGAAGGCGGUCUGCUGGGGUGAGGCUGACGCUGAGGCGCGACAGCGUGGGGAGCAAACAGG